This 373-nucleotide ribosomal RNA is filed under the name uncultured organism. Its description in RNAcentral is "bacterial SSU rRNA". It matches the Rfam family "Bacterial small subunit ribosomal RNA", at positions 526 to 896 of the family's 1533-position model. The record is from RNAcentral.
CGGAGGAUCCAAGCGUUAUCCGGAAUUACUGGGCGUAAAGAGUUGCGUAGGUGGCAUUGUAAGUCGGUAGUGAAAGCGUGUGGCUCAACCAUAUAUACAUUAUCGAAACUGCAAAGCUAGAGGACGAGAGAGGUUAUUGGAAUUCCUAGUGUAGGGGUAAAAUCCGUUGAUAUUAGGAAGAACACCGAUGGCGUAGGCAGAUAACUGGCUCGUUCCUGACACUAAGGCACGAAAGCGUGGGGAGCAAACAGGAUUAGAUACCCUGGUAGUCCACGCCGUAAACGAUGGAUGCUAGCUGUUAGAGGUAUCGACCCCUCUAGUAGCGAAGCUAACGCGUUAAGCAUCCCGCCUGUGGAGUACGGUCGCAAGACUA